AGAGUGCUAAGGAUUGAGGGAUUAAGAGGAGGUGAUUGUAUUAUUCCUCUUUUCAGAUAAUGGAGAGAGAGAAGAGAACAGCAGUAGCCGUUGCCAGAAAUAUUGAGCAAGGCGGAUUUAUUAGAUGAAGAUAUCAAAAUACUUUCCAUUGAGGAAACAGGUUGGAGGUGGGAGGCUGUAACCAUGCUUGAUUUUGUACCACCCUAACCUUUGCUUUCAUGUGGUGUUAGCACGGAGAUGAGAAAGAGAGAAAGACAACAUCAUGCUUUGCUGUCUGUGUGUGAACUGAGUAACAGCUGUGAAGGAUCAGUCACCAAAAGACUUUGAAAGAAGAGGCUUGAUUGGUCACGGUAAUGAUGCUCCCCUGGCCAUGGAAGUUUAAUUGGGAGAAAAGAACAUCUGCUUAUACGAAAACAUAUUAUAUUCAGCCAUCCCUGCCCUGACUUUGGCCUUUAAAAACAGUGGCAUUAAUUAUCUCAACAAAUGAAUCUUCGGGAUAAAAAUAAUCUAAAUAUUAUUUUACGCUUACUACAUAUUUGCAACGUGCUAAGCUCUUUAUGGUUGCUACCACAAAAAACAUUUAUAAUAUGAGGUUGUUUCCGUAUUUUGGCUAUUGUGAAUAGUGCUGCAAUAAACAUGGAAGUGCUGAUAUAUCUUUGAGAUCUUGACUUCAAACAAAAGAAGAAAAUCUUGCAAUAUAUGACAACACGGAUUAACCUGGAGGACAUUGUGCUUAGUGAAGUUAGCCAGUCACAGACUGACAAGUACUGCACGAUUCCACUUAUGAAGACUACAGUUCCUAUCUUCACAGGUGGCUGUUAGCUCUAAAUGAACUCAUUUAUUUUGAAAGCAUGAUUUAAAGUAUAGUUUUAAACUAUAAGCAUUUCAGAAGUGAUGACCCAUGACUCAAAUCUCAAAAAUAAAUGCUACAGUUCACAGUUGGAAUAUGGACACAAGAAAAAUAAUAGAUGAUGCCACUGAAAGGUAAACAUACCAUUCUGACAUGCAUGAAAAUGAAACGACAAAUUGAUACACGCAGUGCUUGGAAUGGAUGGAGUCCUUCUAAUGAGUGAUUACCUGUGGUAUAACUAUAUUGAUUGUGUUUGUACAUGUCAAAUGGGGCUGGCGAGGAUGAACUUGAAGAAAUCAAUCUUGGAACCUGCUAGGACAGCAGCCUCCUGGUUUCACAGUACUAAAUCAUGACUUCAAAAUUUUGAAGUAAAAGAAAACUGCAAAACUUUGUAAA
This 1246-nucleotide long non-coding RNA is filed under the name Homo sapiens (human). Its description in RNAcentral is "uncharacterized LOC102724749, transcript variant 2 (LOC102724749)". Lineage: Eukaryota; Metazoa; Chordata; Mammalia; Primates; Hominidae. The record is from RNAcentral.